UACGUAGGGUGCGAGCGUUAAUCGGAAUUACUGGGCGUAAAGCGUGCGCAGGCGGCUUUGUAAGACAGGCGUGAAAUCCCCGGGCUCAACCUGGGAAUUGCGCUUGUGACUGCAAAGCUGGAGUGCGGCAGAGGGGGAUGGAAUUCCGCGUGUAGCAGUGAAAUGCGUAGAUAUGCGGAGGAACACCGAUGGCGAAGGCAAUCCCCUGGGCCUGCACUGACGCUCAUGCACGAAAGCGUGGGGAGCAAACAGG
This 253-nucleotide ribosomal RNA is filed under the name uncultured bacterium. RNAcentral's name for it is "partial 16S ribosomal RNA". It matches the Rfam family "Bacterial small subunit ribosomal RNA", at positions 524 to 776 of the family's 1533-position model. The record is from RNAcentral.